CUUUCUUGUAAUGUAAAUGUUUUCCUUCAUUUGUAGGACAAGAAAAGUGUCUUCCUGAUGAUGAGAGUUCUUGCCAUGGUCUCUGUUAUUUUUGAGAAGCCAGACUAAGCUUGUGCGGCAGCCAAUGCAUUUUGUCAAAGGAAAAAAAUUGUUAAAGGGCACUAUCAUUUUACAGAUUUUGACAAACCGUUUUGGAUUUUUCUGUGUUCUAGACCUAUCUGACAAUUGCUUAGGUUGGAUGUUCUUUUUAUGCUGGAUUGUUUGCAGUUUCUUCGAAUAUGUAAGCAGUAGGUGCUUUAUCUGUCAUUAACAAGAAAAGGAUUGUGUUGCAACAGGAAGCAAAUUUAAAAAGGAAAAAAAAUAAACAUUUCACAGGCCGAUGCGGAAUUGAAAUGGUGACAAUGUUUUAGUCAAUUUGCUACAACCUUUUACCAUCACCCAAUAAGGAACAUAUACAUUUAUUACAAAAAAAAAUAUAUACAUGUGUUUCUUACUUUUUUAUUGCAGGAAAUAAUUUUUCAAAAAUAUUCACAAUGGUAUUAGAUCAACAAUCAGAGUUCUAUAGUUAAAAAAGAAACGUGAAACCUUACCGUCUGUGACUGCAUCUUCAACGAUAUUGUUGCUUUUUCUUCUUUUGGAAUGUUUGAGUUGAUGAUUUCAUAUAAAUACUUAUUGUGAUGGUAAAAAGAAUACACUGCGAAGAGUAGAAGGUUGGUCAGGAAUACAAGAGCAUAAAUUCCUUGACUGGAUGCCAUAAACAAGUAAUCUCUUUUGCCGCUCAUAUGAACGCCACAACGAACGACCAUUGCCAGCAAAACCUACGAGAAGGACCUACAAGUACAAUACAGGUCAUCUCUCGAAAACUCGGAUUCUUUCCUCCUUAAUUGUAGUUUGCAUCAACUGAAUCUUUCACAUACUUUUAGGUCUCUUAAAACUGGAAUAUAAUAUAAAAGGGACCUGAACUUUUAUUAAAGGCCCCAAAAAAGGCUUUAUUUGGAUAUUUGUUAAAUCAAGGCUUUAUCCAGGAAUUAGUCGGGUCUUGUAACUUGGGGAUGCACACAAGAAACUAGAUAUUUUUGGUUGCCUUUAAUUUUGUUCUUUCUUUUGCCUGUUUGUACCAGCUUGGAACAAAUUCUGUUUUCCUGAGGUUUUGUUUUGCUUAUGAGUCCCGGCAGUGGGCCCAUGAAAGAGUGUGGAUACAGUGAAAUUAAUACUCGUGGCACCUCCCCCAUGGAGUCUCCUCCUAAAAAGAAAGCUGCUGCACAGAAGAAAUGGGAGGUUUUCCCAGGUAGGAACAAAUUUUUUUGCGAUGGCAGGAUAAUGAUGGCCAAGCAAACUGGAGUCUUCUACCUCACCCUGAUCCUUAUCCUGCUAACCAGUGGACUCUUCUUUGCCUUUGAGUAAGUGUCAUUACUUCUGUGUGUGUAUCUUAAUUUACAUAAAAUGUUUGUAAACUAAAAUAGUCUAAAAUGUUUUGAUGGAUAUUACAUUUUCUGUAU
This is a non-coding RNA of Pelobates cultripes (western spadefoot toad), 1499 nucleotides long. NCBI's taxonomy places the organism in Eukaryota, Metazoa, Chordata, Amphibia, Anura, Pelobatidae. The record is from the annotation of a GenBank genome assembly.